RNAcentral lists this ribosomal RNA (253 nucleotides) under uncultured bacterium. RNAcentral's name for it is "partial 16S ribosomal RNA". It matches the Rfam family "Bacterial small subunit ribosomal RNA", at positions 524 to 776 of the family's 1533-position model. The record is from RNAcentral.
UACGUAGGUGGCAAGCGUUGUCCGGAUUUAUUGGGUUUAAAGGGUGCGUAGGCGGCCCUGUAAUUCAGUGGUGAAAUACUCCAGCUUAACUGGAGGGGUGCCAUUGAUACUGCAGGGCUUGAGUGGAGUCGAAGUAGGCGGAAUUGACGGUGUAGCGGUGAAAUGCUUAGAUAUCGUCAAGAACACCGAUAGUGAAGACAGCUUACUAGGCUUCUACUGACGCUGAGGCACGAAAGUGUGGGGAUCAAACAGG